UAGUCCACGCCCUAAACGAUGUUGACUCGAUAUUUGGACUUUAGUUUGAGUGUCUAAGGGAAACCGAUAAGUCAACCACCCGGGGAGUACGUUCGCAAGAAUGAAACUCAAAGGAAUUGACGGGGGCCCGCACAAGCGGUGGAGCAUGUGGUUUAAAUCGACAAUACGCGCGAAAUCUUACCAAUUUUUGUAUAUUUUUUACAGGUGUUGCAUGGCUGUCGUCAGUCCGUGCUGUGAAGCGUUUGGUUAACUCCAACAAACGGACGAAACUCUUCUAUAUUUUAAAAUAUAUAUUGCUAAGGAUAUCUUGGAUGAAAGAAGAAUGAUGCCAAGUCCUCAUGGCCCUUACAAGCUGGGCUACACACGUGCUACAAUGGCGAUGACAGUGAGCAGCUAACCCGCGAGGGCAAGCUAAUCUCUAAAAGUCGUCUCAGUUCGGAUUGUUCUCUGCAACUCGAGAGCAUGAAGGCGGAAUCGUUAGUAAUCGCGGAUCAGCAUGCCGCGGUG
RNAcentral lists this ribosomal RNA (507 nucleotides) under uncultured bacterium. RNAcentral describes it as "bacterial SSU rRNA". It matches the Rfam family "Bacterial small subunit ribosomal RNA", at positions 791 to 1364 of the family's 1533-position model. The record is from RNAcentral.